RNAcentral lists this transfer RNA (69 nucleotides) under Cynoglossus roulei. RNAcentral's name for it is "tRNA-Ala". It matches the Rfam family "tRNA". From Rfam's summary of the family: Transfer RNA (tRNA) molecules are approximately 80 nucleotides in length. Their secondary structure includes four short double-helical elements and three loops (D, anti-codon, and T loops). The record is from RNAcentral. Lineage: Eukaryota; Metazoa; Chordata; Actinopteri; Pleuronectiformes; Cynoglossidae.
AAGGUUUUAGCUUAAUUAAAGUGUCUGUUUUGCAUAUAGAAGAUGUGGAUUAAUGUUCCGCAGGCCUUA